Molecule: long non-coding RNA, 1309 nt
Filed under: Linum usitatissimum (flax)
Lineage: Eukaryota; Viridiplantae; Streptophyta; Magnoliopsida; Malpighiales; Linaceae
Description: long non-coding RNA (LUSI_LNC004922)
Source: RNAcentral
AUAUCCAGCUCUCCACACUAGAGAGCUACCUCAUUCAAGAACAAGGGAAAACAAAUCGAAGCAGACGCAGUAUAUAUCUCGAAAACAAACUUAUGAUUAAUUGCAUAUGUUGAGGCUCCUAUCAAUUGAUCCAGCAAAGAGAGAAAAAGAGACUGCGUUCGAUGAUCGAUCGUGUGGGGAAGGCCAGUUGUGCCUACACCAACCAGUCAACCACAAAAAAAAAAUGAGAAUGCAGAACAUCAUGCAAAAGUAGCUGCAGCUGGCUCUUCCUGAAACAUCGUCCCUUUGCUCUGCAUCUCUCUCACAGUCUCUCACUCACACGCACGGCCCCCUUCAGUCAAACCAAACACAACAAAAAGGAGAUUGGUUUCUCACAAAGUACCAAAGUACAUACAUACAUUCGUGUGCAGUGCAGCAGCUUGAGAUAGAAAGAGAGAAGGUUGACCAGGCGUCUUGGGGAUGAGCUAACUGCCAACUUCUGCUCUCUCUAAUAUUCAUUCACACCCUCUACAAUGCUUCCAUUUCUUUAUCAUCUUCAUGCCUUCCACCAUGCCCAAUUUCUUUCUUAAUUACCAUUUCCCCCCACACGUGCGUGUGCUUCCCUCUAAUAUAUAUACUACACACAGAAAAUUCCAAUUACCAUAUAACAAUUAUUCAUCUUCCUCAUUUCUUUUCUCUGACAAAUAUAAUCAGAUCAUCUCCUUUUUUUUCCUCCAUUGUUUUUGGGUUUGUUAUACAACACCAAGAGCAGCUUCAAAGGUUGCAUCUUUCUUUUUUUAUAUAUAUAAAAAGGAAAUUUAAAGAUGGGUAGGAUACCUUGUUGUGAGAAGGACAAUGUGAAAAGAGGGCAAUGGACUCCUGAGGAAGACAACAAACUCUCUUCCUACAUUUCCCAACAUGGCACCCGCAACUGGCGCCUCAUCCCCAAGAAUGCUGGUCUCUCUCUCUCCCUCUCUUUUCCUUCCUUCAUUCAUUGAUUAAUGCAUGAUCACAUUAUUACUUUCAAGCCUGUAAUUGACUUGGUGCGCAUGCCUCGCCUAUACCUCGCAAUGCAGGCCUCCAACGAUGCGGCAAGAGCUGCAGACUCCGCUGGACCAACUACCUCCGUCCAGACCUCAUGCGUGGCAAGUUCUCCGAGCCCGAGGAGCAGACCAUUGUCAAGCUCCACUCCGUCGUUGGCAAUAGGUAUAUAACCCAGAAGCUACAUUAUAUUGGUUUCAAUUUGUUUCAUUCUCCUUCACCAUUUUACUACCAAGCUGUAACUAAUUACAGUUCUGAUCUCGCGACUUGGGCAGAUGGUCGUUGAUUG